Molecule: ribosomal RNA, 199 nt
Filed under: Melaloncha curtibrachia
Lineage: Eukaryota; Metazoa; Arthropoda; Insecta; Diptera; Phoridae
Description: partial 28S ribosomal RNA
Source: RNAcentral
CCAUAUAAGGACAUUGUAAUCUGUUAAUGUUUAAAUGCGUAUUAUAAGAUCUUUUACAAUAGUUUAUUCAUUAUUUAAUUUAUUUUAAAUAUGAUUAAAUGUAAAAGUUUCGAAUAUGCCAUUGACAGAUUUUAUAUAUAUUGUACUUAAAUCAUUUUUGAUUUUAUAAUAAUAUAAUUAUCGUAGAUUUUUAUAUUUA